Molecule: long non-coding RNA, 258 nt
Organism: Notothenia coriiceps (black rockcod)
Lineage: Eukaryota; Metazoa; Chordata; Actinopteri; Perciformes; Nototheniidae
Exons: 3
Source: RefSeq, a predicted model, not a curated record
CCCAAAAUGACAAGGAGCCAGAGCCAGACGCGAAGUUGCACCAGCAGUUUGAAUCGUAUAAGGACCAGGUUAAGAAGAUGGGGGAGGAGACUAAGCCGGCUCAGGACCUGAAGAGCGAAGCCCCAACCUGCGGGAUAUGCCACAAAACCAAGUUUGCCGAUGGCUGUGGCCACCUCUGUUCAUAUUGCCAAACAAAAUUCUGUGCUCGGUGCGGAGGACGAGUGUCUCUGCGGUCAAAUAAGGAGGACAAAGUGGUUA